UGAUCACAGUAACAGUGAUGGUGAUGAUGAUGAUAAUUCCAACUUAACAAGAUUAUAUUUAUUAUCAUCAUCAUCAUCAUCAUCAUCAUCA
RNAcentral lists this microRNA precursor (91 nucleotides) under Bigelowiella natans CCMP2755. RNAcentral's name for it is "miRNA EPrBNAG00000013326". The record is from RNAcentral. Lineage: Eukaryota; Cercozoa; Chlorarachniophyceae.